GUUUAUAAAAACGAACCCGACUGCUCUCUCGCAAGGGAAGAGCGUUCAACUGGGCGCUCGUAUCCAAUCUCUCUUGCUCUCUCUCUUUGUCUCUCCUCUUUCUCCUCGCGAGUUUAGAGAGAAGAUAAGUGGGGGGGAGUAUAGCAGUGUGCGUGAUACGUCGCCUCAAACGAAACGCAAGAGAAAAGAUGAAUUCGUUCGUCUGGCUGGCGCGCGCUUACCGCUUGGAGAGUACGACCGUGCGAAAGCGCGCGAGUACUUCCGAUCGUUCUGCGUCGAGUCCCGGAGCUUCUCGCCUCGUCGAGCAGCGGACCGACCUGCAGUACACGAUCAGGCUCGUCCGUGAUUCGGUACAAUAGAAAGGCGCGCGCGCACACGUCGCGUAUGAAUUGUUAUUUUUUAUUUUUAUUUAAAAUAAUCAUAUUUAUACACGAUUAAGGCAAGGCACGGCUAUGCUGCUGCUGCGGCUGCUGCUGCUGCUGGCUAGCUCGAACGUAACGAUCUUUUUUCUCGAU
This 515-nucleotide unclassified non-coding RNA is filed under the name Trichogramma sp. 'IMSQ'. Its description in RNAcentral is "rRNA internally transcribed spacer 2". Lineage: Eukaryota; Metazoa; Arthropoda; Insecta; Hymenoptera; Trichogrammatidae. The record is from RNAcentral.